AUGAAGAGAUCAUCCGCACCAACAAACUAUUGGAGGAGAAACAAGGUCGAGAACCUCAAGAACACGCUGGCCGAGGCCAAGAAGAAGGAGGAGGGGGAACAAGCCUCCCGCCAAAAGCAUGAAUCACGGGUGGAGGAAGUCCAGCAAGAGCUCCGGGAUGCCAUAGGCAAAUGUGAGUCCUUGGAGCGCAAGAUUACGGAUGAAGAUGUCGAACAUGCUAAGGCCCUCCAAUGUGCGCAGGAGGCCCGGGUUGAAGCCCAAGGCGUCUGCCGGGAGAUUCAAGAGGCCGAGAAGAUUGCGGCGGGGAGCGUUUGCGGAUCUGCCCCGGAGUACUGCUGA
RNAcentral lists this ribosomal RNA (339 nucleotides) under Triticum aestivum (bread wheat). RNAcentral's name for it is "partial small subunit ribosomal RNA". The record is from RNAcentral. Lineage: Eukaryota; Viridiplantae; Streptophyta; Magnoliopsida; Poales; Poaceae.